RNAcentral lists this unclassified non-coding RNA (430 nucleotides) under soil metagenome. RNAcentral's name for it is "partial contains 5.8S ribosomal RNA, internal transcribed spacer 2, and large subunit ribosomal RNA". The stretch from base 1 to 120 matches the Rfam family "5.8S ribosomal RNA", at positions 35 to 154 of the family's 154-position model. The record is from RNAcentral.
GAUGAAGAACGCAGCGAAAUGCGAUACGUAAUGUGAAUUGCAGAAUUUAGUGAAUCAUCGAAUCUUUGAACGCAUAUUGCGCUCUCUGGUAUUCCGGAGAGCAUGCUUGUUUGAGUAUCAGUAAACACCUCAACUCCCUUUUCUUUUUUGAAAUUGGAGCUGGACUUGAGUGAUCCCAACGCUUUCUUCCAAGAAAGUGGCGGGUUGCUUGAAAUGCAGGUGCAGCUGAACUUUUCUCUGAGCUAUAAGCAUAUCUAUUUAGUCUGCCUAAAAAACAGAUUAUUACCUUUGCUGCAGCUAACAUAAAGGAGACUAGUUCUUGUGCUGACUGAUGCAGGAUUCACAGAGACAGCUUCGGCUGACUUUGUAAACUCGAUCUCAAAUCAAGUAAGACUACCCGCUGAACUUAAGCAUAUCAAUAAGCGGAGGA